UGGAAUGUAGACACGAAACAGGUAUCGA
RNAcentral lists this non-coding RNA (28 nucleotides) under Bombyx mori (domestic silkworm). Lineage: Eukaryota; Metazoa; Arthropoda; Insecta; Lepidoptera; Bombycidae. The record is from RNAcentral.